RNAcentral lists this long non-coding RNA (886 nucleotides) under Jatropha curcas. RNAcentral's name for it is "long non-coding RNA (JCUR_LNC000496)". The record is from RNAcentral. Lineage: Eukaryota; Viridiplantae; Streptophyta; Magnoliopsida; Malpighiales; Euphorbiaceae.
UUUAUACAAUAAUUGGAAAAGCAAUGGAUGUGAAUUAUGAUCAAGCAAUUCAGAAAUUUAACCAUGAUUCAUUCAAGCCUCAUAUAUUAUGUCAAAAAGAAUAACUAAAUUCAAUAAUUUAUUCUAAAUGGACAAGAGAUAAUAGCUACCAAAUUAACUUUACUUAAGUAAUUAAGAGGGCUUCUCUAUUGAAUUCAAAGGGCUGUUCUAAGUUAAGAUAAAAUUCCCUAAUCAUCAUAAUUUCAGCUACCCAAAAUCAAUAUCAAAUUCAAGCAAAUAUUAGAACAAAUUACUCACAUUUUAACAAGACCCAACAAAAUUGCUGCUGAUUAUUACAAUACCCAGCAAAAUUUAACCAAAACAAUUAGCAAUUGAACCCAAAUUUCAGCAAAAUUAGAACCCUAUUUCAUAUUAAUGAUUUUUCUAGCUCAAAAUUCCCUCCCCCACACUUAAAUUACAUUGUCCCAAUGUAAUACCCAACACAAAUCCAAGCAAAUAAAAACGGAAAUUGAAAUUUAUGUCCAAGAAAACUUACCUAAACUGCUGGACUUGAGAUCUAAAACAAAACAGGGGACGCAUCUAUUGGGUACAAAACCUUCGAACACUGCUACUAGAAGAAGAGGGAAUGGCUCCGAAGCUACUGAUUGGGCUCUAUUUUUGCUGGCGUUGGGCGAUCUGAACAAAAUAGGAGAUUGAACGAUCGCUGCUUCGCGUGGAGGAGAGAGUCACUUCUCCUUUUCUUUUCUUUUGUUCUCACCUUACUCACGUGCUGUAUAUAUGAGUCAAAAACAAAAUAGGAGAACAUAAUAUACUAAGAAAAAGCCCACACUUGACGCUUAUAAGGCCUAUUAAAAUUUCAUAUUCCAUUAAACUCUCCCAAGGAAAG